AGAAAAUAAACAAUAAAAACUGUCUAAAAGAGAGUUGUUGAGAGAAUUUCUCAACCAGAAAUUAACAGCGGCUGCUGAGGAGAUAUUUGGGGUCGUUGAAAAAACGAUAGCAGAGUACCAGGUAGACAUGUUCCGUACGAAAGAGGAGAACGAACGUCUUCGUGGGCUGUUGAUGUUGUACAAAGGAGGUACAUGCUGAGUUUCAGAGAAUCACCAACCAGAGCCUGCAGCAGACGUUCUACGCUGCCUUAGACCACCACACACCCCGCCUGCUGACCCUGUUCAGGGAGAAGGGGGGGAAGUCCACCACCCAUGGAGGGAAUUCUCAAGCAUCCUGAGAGUGUACAAUGAGCAGUUCACUUCACAGGGAGAAAAGAACAUCACCGUGGCCCGUUCUGCAGUCCUGGCUGGUCUCCCUUUGUUGUUACGAGAGGAUAGUUCUGAUGUCUUCAAAAUCUGCGAGGUGGGAGAACUCAGCAACCCUGGUAUUCUGGAUGGAGUUUCCAUUCUCUCAGUGGUGGGCCAGCACAAUGAGGUGGUGGGUGGUAUACCCAUCAGACCAGCCCAUGUAUCCAUUGUCCUUGAGGAUAAGAUCGUCAUGACUAACUCCUGCUCCUGGCCAGACGCUCUCAUGGUUGUUUUUGGGCUACUCUACUCCCUCCAUCUGAACUACCCCAAGGCCCUGGGCAGCACCUUUGAGUUCAUGCAGAAAGUCUUCCUGAACCUCGACGAUGGAAAGCUGAAGCCCAAGCUGCUAGCACUGAAAAAUGAACUGUUGGCCUAAUUCAGUGACCUCCUAUAUGCCGAGUGAGUGGUUUGAAAACAAUGGUUGUUUUUGUUUGGUUUGCUUUUUAUAUUUUUGUACCUUUUUUGUGAAUGGAUUUGAUGUUGUAUUUCAAUUAACUUAUAACCCUUUUAUGUGCAAAGAAGACACAGGUCAGUCAACACAUUAACUUAUCAAAUCAAGUUUAUUUUAUAUAGCCCUUCGUACAUCAGCUAAUAUCUCGAAGUGCUGUACAGA
Molecule: long non-coding RNA, 1021 nt
Organism: Salvelinus namaycush (lake trout)
Lineage: Eukaryota; Metazoa; Chordata; Actinopteri; Salmoniformes; Salmonidae
Exons: 4
Source: RefSeq, a predicted model, not a curated record